Molecule: long non-coding RNA, 429 nt
Organism: Physeter macrocephalus (sperm whale)
Lineage: Eukaryota; Metazoa; Chordata; Mammalia; Artiodactyla; Physeteridae
Exons: 5
Source: RefSeq, a predicted model, not a curated record
UACCGUUUGUGAUUGUUGGCGCGGCUGCGAGCUGUGCACUUCUGUAAGGAAGAAGUUGGAGCCCGGCCUCGGGGGAGAGCUAUGCAGACUCGGACCAGCACCACCGGGAUCUUAGUUCCCCGACCAGGACUGAACCCGCACCCUAGGCAGUGAAAGUGAGGAGUCCUAACCACUGGACCACCAGGGAAUUCCCAAGAUUGACUUUACGGGCCAAUGAAGUCCUUUGGAAAAGCAUCCUGGUACCUUGCUAACAGGGUUCCCAGCGCCUUACCACAAAUGUCUCUUAUUAAAUACCUGAUUGCUUGCACCAUAGGCCUAGCUUUGGGAGCCCCCCUGCAUCACUGCCUCCUAAAAUAAGAGGACGAUUCAGAGGAGGGAACUGUCAAACCCGAGCUGUGGUUCCGGGACACAGUGAAAGGACCUAUUCUA